RNAcentral lists this ribosomal RNA (1322 nucleotides) under Mycolicibacterium gilvum. RNAcentral's name for it is "bacterial SSU rRNA". It matches the Rfam family "Bacterial small subunit ribosomal RNA", at positions 28 to 1365 of the family's 1533-position model. The record is from RNAcentral. Lineage: Bacteria; Bacillati; Actinomycetota; Actinomycetes; Mycobacteriales; Mycobacteriaceae.
GACGAACGCUGGCGGCGUGCUUAACACAUGCAAGUCGAACGGAAAGGCCCUUCGGGGUACUCGAGUGGCGAACGGGUGAGUAACACGUGGGUGAUCUGCCCUGCACUUUGGGAUAAGCCUGGGAAACUGGGUCUAAUACCGAAUAGGACCGCAUGCUUCAUGGUGUGUGGUGGAAAGCUUUUGCGGUGUGGGAUGGGCCCGCGGCCUAUCAGCUUGUUGGUGAGGUAAUGGCUUACCAAGGCGACGACGGGUAGCCGGCCUGAGAGGGUGACCGGCCACACUGGGACUGAGAUACGGCCCAGACUCCUACGGGAGGCAGCAGUGGGGAAUAUUGCACAAUGGGCGCAAGCCUGAUGCAGCGACGCCGCGUGAGGGAUGACGGCCUUCGGGUUGUAAACCUCUUUCGCCAGGGACGAAGCGCAAGUGACGGUACCUGGAGAAGAAGGACCGGCCAACUACGUGCCAGCAGCCGCGGUAAUACGUAGGGUCCGAGCGUUGUCCGGAAUUACUGGGCGUAAAGAGCUCGUAGGUGGUUUGUCGCGUUGUUCGUGAAAACUCACAGCUUAACUGUGGGCGUGCGGGCGAUACGGGCAGACUUGAGUACUGCAGGGGAGACUGGAAUUCCUGGUGUAGCGGUGGAAUGCGCAGAUAUCAGGAGGAACACCGGUGGCGAAGGCGGGUCUCUGGGCAGUAACUGACGCUGAGGAGCGAAAGCGUGGGGAGCGAACAGGAUUAGAUACCCUGGUAGUCCACGCCGUAAACGGUGGGUACUAGGUGUGGGUUUCCUUCCUUGGGAUCCGUGCCGUAGCUAACGCAUUAAGUACCCCGCCUGGGGAGUACGGCCGCAAGGCUAAAACUCAAAGAAAUUGACGGGGGCCCGCACAAGCGGCGGAGCAUGUGGAUUAAUUCGAUGCAACGCGAAGAACCUUACCUGGGUUUGACAUGCACAGGACGCCGGCAGAGAUGUCGGUUCCCUUGUGGCCUGUGUGCAGGUGGUGCAUGGCUGUCGUCAGCUCGUGUCGUGAGAUGUUGGGUUAAGUCCCGCAACGAGCGCAACCCUUGUCUCAUGUUGCCAGCACGUUAUGGUGGGGACUCGUGAGAGACUGCCGGGGUCAACUCGGAGGAAGGUGGGGAUGACGUCAAGUCAUCAUGCCCCUUAUGUCCAGGGCUUCACACAUGCUACAAUGGCCGGUACAAAGGGCUGCGAUGCCGUGAGGUGGAGCGAAUCCUUUCAAAGCCGGUCUCAGUUCGGAUCGGGGUCUGCAACUCGACCCCGUGAAGUCGGAGUCGCUAGUAAUCGCAGAUCAGCAACGCUGCGGUGA